Corchorus olitorius is the source of this 53-nucleotide non-coding RNA. Lineage: Eukaryota; Viridiplantae; Streptophyta; Magnoliopsida; Malvales; Malvaceae. The record is from Rfam.
CUCCGCGCCUUGUGCGCGGAGCUUUUUCCGACAGUAAAAGGGGUCUGCCCGUG